UACAGAGGUGGCAAGCGUUAAUCGGAAUUACUGGGCGUAAAGCGUGCGCAGGCGGUUAUGUAAGACAGGGGUGAAAUCCCCGGGCUUAACCUGGGAACUGCAUUUGUGACUGCAUAGCUAGAGUACGGUAGAGGGGGAUGGAAUUCCGCGUGUAGCAGUGAAAUGCGUAGAUAUGCGGAGGAACACCGAUGGCGAAGGCAAUCCCCUGGACCUGUACUGACGCUCAUGCACGAAAGCGUGGGGAGCAAACAGG
RNAcentral lists this ribosomal RNA (253 nucleotides) under uncultured bacterium. RNAcentral's name for it is "partial 16S ribosomal RNA". It matches the Rfam family "Bacterial small subunit ribosomal RNA", at positions 524 to 776 of the family's 1533-position model. The record is from RNAcentral.